UACGUAGGGGGCAAGCGUUGUCCGGAUUCAUUGGGCGUAAAGAGCUCGUAGGCGGUUCAGUAAGUCGGGUGUGAAAGCUCCGAGCUCAACUCGGAGAGGCCACCCGAUACUGCUGUGACUUGAGUCCAGUAGAGGAGCGUGGAAUUCCUGGUGUAGCGGUGAAAUGCGCAGAUAUCAGGAGGAACACCGGUGGCGAAGGCGGGUCUCUGGACCGAUACUGACACUGAGGAGCGAAAGCGUGGGGAGCGAACAGG
RNAcentral lists this ribosomal RNA (254 nucleotides) under uncultured bacterium. Its description in RNAcentral is "partial 16S ribosomal RNA". It matches the Rfam family "Bacterial small subunit ribosomal RNA", at positions 524 to 776 of the family's 1533-position model. The record is from RNAcentral.